UAUAUUUAGGAAUACGUGAUGGGUUUGCC
RNAcentral lists this non-coding RNA (29 nucleotides) under Mus musculus (house mouse). Lineage: Eukaryota; Metazoa; Chordata; Mammalia; Rodentia; Muridae. The record is from RNAcentral.